RNAcentral lists this ribosomal RNA (256 nucleotides) under uncultured bacterium. RNAcentral's name for it is "partial 16S ribosomal RNA". It matches the Rfam family "Bacterial small subunit ribosomal RNA", at positions 524 to 776 of the family's 1533-position model. The record is from RNAcentral.
UACGUGAGGGGGCAAGCGUUGUCCGGAUUUAUUGGGCGUAAAGAGCGUGUAGGCGGCCAUUCAGGUCAGCUGUGAAAACUCGAGGCUCAACCUCGAGACGUCGGUUGAAACCGUUUGGCUAGAGUCCGGAAGAGGAGAGUGGAAAUUCCCGGUGUAGCGGUGAAAAUGCGCAGAUAUCGGGAAGAACACCCGUGGCGAAGGCGGCUCUCUGGGACGGUACUGACGCUGAGACGCGAAAGCGUGGGGAGCGAACAGG